GAGCCCCUGCUCACACAAUGGCUUCUUACAGCAGAAGCAGCAGCACCUCCAGUGGGAUGAGCACAAGUGUAUGCUCCCGAGUGUCUUGCUGUGGAACAUUUUAUAUGUGAUUUGGGGAUUUUAAGUUGGAAACCAAAAUGUCCAUGUGGGAAGACUGCCUCCUAGUAGCACUUCUUGUGAGGAGCAAGAUUGUACAUCCCAGAGUCAAGGAAUAAAUUGAAGGUAAGGUCCCUUGGGCAUAAAAUGUUGAAAAAAGCUGGGGACCCCUUGUGAUCAUUCACU
Molecule: long non-coding RNA, 282 nt
Filed under: Mustela putorius furo (domestic ferret)
Lineage: Eukaryota; Metazoa; Chordata; Mammalia; Carnivora; Mustelidae
Description: lncRNA (ENSMPUG00000025408.1)
Source: RNAcentral